UACGGAGGGUGCAAGCGUUAUCCGGAUUCACUGGGUUUAAAGGGUGCGUAGGCGGGUAGGUAAGUCAGUGGUGAAAUCUUCGAGCUUAACUCGGAAACUGCCUUUGAUACUAUCUAUCUUGAAUAUUGUGGAGGUAAGCGGAAUAUGUCAUGUAGCGGUGAAAUGCUUAGAUAUGACAUAGAACACCUAUUGCGAAGGCAGCUUACUACGCAUAUAUUGACGCUGAGGCACGAAAGCGUGGGGAUCAAGCAGG
RNAcentral lists this ribosomal RNA (253 nucleotides) under uncultured bacterium. RNAcentral describes it as "partial 16S ribosomal RNA". It matches the Rfam family "Bacterial small subunit ribosomal RNA", at positions 524 to 776 of the family's 1533-position model. The record is from RNAcentral.